GAUGAACGUUGGCGGCGUGCCUAAUACAUGCAAGUCGAACGAAGAGCUUAAAGUAGCAAUACUUUGAUAACUCUUAGUGGCGAACGGGUGAGUAACGCGUUGGUGACCUGCCCCAAAGAUAGGGAUAACAGUUCGAAAGGACUGCUAAUACCUAAUGUUAUCAUUUGGCUUAGAUGCCUUUUGAUUAAAGGAGCUUGCUCCACUUUGGGAGGGGCCUGCGUCCCAUCAGCUAGUUGGUAGGGUAAUGGCCUACCAAGGCUAUGACGGGUAGGGGACCUGAGAGGGUGGCCCCCCACAAUGGAACUGAAACACGGUCCAUACACCUACGGGUGGCAGCAGUAGGGAAUAUUGGUAAUCUGCGAAAGCGGGAACCAGCAACGCCGCGUGCGCGAUGAAGGCCUUCGGGUUGUAAAGCGCUUUUCGGGAGGAAGAGGAAGGACUGUACUCCCGGAAUAAGUCUCGGCUAACUACGUGCCAGCAGCCGCGGUAAUACGUAGGAGGCUAACGUUAUCCGGAUUUACUGGGCGUAAAGCGCGUGCAGGCGGUUCGUUAAGUUGGACGUGAAAGCUCCCGGCUCAACUGGGAGAGGUCGUUCAAUACUGGCGGACUUGAGGAUGGUAGAGGGAGGUGGAAUUCCGGGUGUAGUGGUGAAAUGCGCAGAUAUCCGGAGGAACACCAGUGGCGAAAGCGGCCUCCUGGACCAUUCCUGACGCUCAGACGCGAAAGCUAGGGUAGCAAACG
This 741-nucleotide ribosomal RNA is filed under the name uncultured Anaerolineaceae bacterium. RNAcentral describes it as "bacterial SSU rRNA". It matches the Rfam family "Bacterial small subunit ribosomal RNA", at positions 28 to 774 of the family's 1533-position model. Lineage: Bacteria; Bacillati; Chloroflexota; Anaerolineae; Anaerolineales; Anaerolineaceae. The record is from RNAcentral.